RNAcentral lists this ribosomal RNA (207 nucleotides) under uncultured bacterium. RNAcentral's name for it is "partial 16S ribosomal RNA". It matches the Rfam family "Bacterial small subunit ribosomal RNA", at positions 568 to 774 of the family's 1533-position model. The record is from RNAcentral.
CGCGUAGGCGGCUUGCCAAGUCAGUGGUGAAAUCCUGCAGCUUAACUGCAGAAGUGCCUUUGAUACUGGCGAGCUCGAGGGAGGUAGGGGUAUGUGGAACUUCUGGUGGAGCGGUGAAAUGCGUUGAUAUCAGAAGGAACGCCGGUGGCGAAAGCGACGUACUGGACCUCUUCUGACGCUGAGGCGCGAAAGCUAGGGGAGCAAACG